RNAcentral lists this ribosomal RNA (641 nucleotides) under uncultured Lachnospiraceae bacterium. Its description in RNAcentral is "bacterial SSU rRNA". It matches the Rfam family "Bacterial small subunit ribosomal RNA", at positions 64 to 727 of the family's 1533-position model. The record is from RNAcentral. Lineage: Bacteria; Bacillati; Bacillota; Clostridia; Lachnospirales; Lachnospiraceae.
UUCCUUCGGGACUGAUUAUUUUGUGACUGAGUGGCGGACGGGUGAGUAGCGCGUGGGUAACCUGCCUUGUACAGGGGGAUAACAGUUGGAAACGGCUGCUAAUACCGCAUAAGCGCACAGUAUCGCAUGAUGCAGUGUGAAAAACUCCGGUGGUAUAAGAUGGACCCGCGUUGGAUUAGCUAGUUGGUGAGGUAACGGCCCACCAAGGCGACGAUCCAUAGCCGACCUGAGAGGGUGACCGGCCACAUUGGGACUGAGACACGGCCCAAACUCCUACGGGAGGCAGCAGUGGGGAAUAUUGCACAAUGGGCGAAAGCCUGAUGCAGCGACGCCGCGUGAGCGAAGAAGUAUUUCGGUAUGUAAAGCUCUAUCAGCAGGGAAGAUAAUGACGGUACCUGACUAAGAAGCACCGGCUAAAUACGUGCCAGCAGCCGCGGUAAUACGUAUGGUGCAAGCGUUAUCCGGAUUUACUGGGUGUAAAGGGAGCGCAGGCGGUGCGGCAAGUCUGAUGUGAAAGCCCGGGGCUCAACCCCGGUACUGCAUUGGAAACUGUCGUACUAGAGUGUCGGAGGGGUAAGCGGAUUCCUAGUGUAGCGGUGAAUGCGUAGAUAUUAGGAGGACACCAGUGGCGAAGGCGGCUU